GCCGGUCGUCUAGUCUGGUUAGGAUAUCUGCCUGACAAGUGAUGUACGGUCCCCGGUUCAAAUCCGGGCCGGC
This 73-nucleotide transfer RNA is filed under the name miscellaneous Crenarchaeota group archaeon SMTZ-80. Its description in RNAcentral is "tRNA-Val". The record is from RNAcentral. Lineage: Archaea; Thermoproteati; Candidatus Bathyarchaeota.